Molecule: ribosomal RNA, 808 nt
Filed under: Serratia marcescens
Lineage: Bacteria; Pseudomonadati; Pseudomonadota; Gammaproteobacteria; Enterobacterales; Yersiniaceae
Description: partial 23S ribosomal RNA
Rfam family: Bacterial large subunit ribosomal RNA
Source: RNAcentral
AAACCCGGUGAUCUAGCCAUGGGCAGGUUGAAGGUUGGGUAACACUAACUGGAGGACCGAACCGACUAAUGUUGAAAAAUUAGCGGAUGACUUGUGGCUGGGGGUGAAAGGCCAAUCAAACCGGGAGAUAGCUGGUUCUCCCCGAAAGCUAUUUAGGUAGCGCCUCGUGAACUCAUCUUCGGGGGUAGAGCACUGUUUCGGCUAGGGGGCCAUCCCGGCUUACCAAACCGAUGCAAACUCCGAAUACCGAAGAAUGUUAUCACGGGAGACACACGGCGGGUGCUAACGUCCGUCGUGAAGAGGGAAACAACCCAGACCGCCAGCUAAGGUCCCAAAGUCAUGGUUAAGUGGGAAACGAUGUGGGAAGGCAUAGACAGCCAGGAUGUUGGCUUAGAAGCAGCCAUCAUUUAAAGAAAGCGUAAUAGCUCACUGGUCGAGUCGGCCUGCGCGGAAGAUGUAACGGGGCUAAACCAUGCACCGAAGCUGCGGCAGCGACGCUUAGGCGUUGUUGGGUAGGGGAGCGUUCUGUAAGCCGUUGAAGGUGGCCUGUGAGGGUUGCUGGAGGUAUCAGAAGUGCGAAUGCUGACAUAAGUAACGAUAAAGCGGGUGAAAAGCCCGCUCGCCGGAAGACCAAGGGUUCCUGUCCAACGUUAAUCGGGGCAGGGUGAGUCGACCCCUAAGGCGAGGCUGAAAAGCGUAGUCGAUGGGAAACAGGUUAAUAUUCCUGUACUUGGUGUUACUGCGAAGGGGGGACGGAGAAGGCUAGGCUAGCCGGGCGACGGUUGUCCCGGUUUAAGCGUGUAGGGGG